Molecule: ribosomal RNA, 508 nt
Filed under: uncultured bacterium
Lineage: Bacteria
Description: bacterial SSU rRNA
Rfam family: Bacterial small subunit ribosomal RNA
Source: RNAcentral
CUGGCUCAGGAUGAACGCUAGCUACAGGCUUAACACAUGCAAGUCGAGGGGCAGCAUGGAGGUAGCUUGCUACCUUGAUGGCGACCGGCGCACGGGUGAGUAACGCGUAUCCAACCUGGCCCUUAGUAGGGGAUAGCCCGGCGAAAGUCGGAUUAAUACCCUAUGUUAUCCGAAGCUGACAUCAGACUUGGAUCAAAGAUUAAUCGCUAAGGGAUGGGGAUGCGUCUGAUUAGCUUGAUGGCGGGUAACGGCCCACCAUGGCCACGAUCAGUAGGGUUCUGAGAGGAAGGUCCCCCCACAUUGGAACUGAGACACGGUCCAAACUCCUACGGGAGGCAGCAGUGAGGAAUAUUGGUCAAUGGUCGCGAGACUGAACCAGCCAAGUAGCGUGCAGGAAGACGGCCCUAUGGGUUGUAAACUGCUUUUAUGCGGGGAUAAAGUGGGCCACGUGUGGCCCUUUGCAGGUACCGCAUGAAUAAGGACCGGCUAAUUCCGUGCCAGCCGCCGC